Non-coding RNA from Myotis brandtii (Brandt's bat), 75 nucleotides. The record is from Rfam. NCBI's taxonomy places the organism in Eukaryota, Metazoa, Chordata, Mammalia, Chiroptera, Vespertilionidae.
GGUAGUUCUUGGGUGAUGCACCCUGGAAUGGGGCUCCCUACUCUCUGCUUCUGGUUGUGUCACCCAAGAAUCGCA